GAUGAACGCUAGCUACAGGCUUAACACAUGCAAGUCGCAGGGUAACAUGAGGAAAGCUUGCUUUCCUUGAUGACGACUGGCGCACGGGUGAGUAACGCGUAUCCAACCUUCCCAUAACUACGGGAUAACCCGUUGAAAGACGGCCUAAUACCGUAUGAUAUCGUUUGCUGACAUCAAAUAACGAUUAAAGGUUUAGCGGUUAUGGAUGGGGAUGCGUCUGAUUAGCUUGUUGGCGGGGUAACGGCCCACCAAGGCGACGAUCAGUAGGGGUUCUGAGAGGAAGGUCCCCCACAUUGGAACUGAGACACGGUCCAAACUCCUACGGGAGGCAGCAGUGAGGAAUAUUGGUCAAUGGGCGAGAGCCUGAACCAGCCAAGUAGCGUGCAGGAUGACGGCCCUAUGGGUUGUAAACUGCUUUUAUGUGGGGAUAAAGUGCGUGACGUGUCAUGCAUUGCAGGUACCACAUGAAUAAGGACCGGCUAAUUCCGU
RNAcentral lists this ribosomal RNA (489 nucleotides) under uncultured bacterium. RNAcentral's name for it is "partial 16S ribosomal RNA". It matches the Rfam family "Bacterial small subunit ribosomal RNA", at positions 28 to 506 of the family's 1533-position model. The record is from RNAcentral.